RNAcentral lists this ribosomal RNA (252 nucleotides) under uncultured bacterium. RNAcentral's name for it is "partial 16S ribosomal RNA". It matches the Rfam family "Bacterial small subunit ribosomal RNA", at positions 525 to 776 of the family's 1533-position model. The record is from RNAcentral.
ACGAAGGGGGCUAGCGUUGCUCGGAAUUACUGGGCGUAAAGGGCGCGUAGGCGGCUUAGUCAGUCAGGCGUGAAAUUCCUGGGCUUAACCUGGGGGCUGCGUUUGAGACGGCUAGGCUAGAGGAUAGGAGAGGGUCGUGGAAUUCCCAGUGUAGAGGUGAAAUUCGUAGAUAUUGGGAAGAACACCGGUGGCGAAGGCGGCGACCUGGCCUAUUACUGACGCUGAGGCGCGACAGCGUGGGGAGCAAACAGG